GCGGCGUGCUUAACACAUGCAAGUCGAACGGAAAGGCCCUGCUUUUGUGGGGUGCUCGAGUGGCGAACGGGUGAGUAACACGUGAGUAACCUGCCCUUGACUUUGGGAUAACUUCAGGAAACUGGGGCUAAUACCGGAUAGGAGCUCCUGCUGCAUGGUGGGGGUUGGAAAGUUUCGGCGGUUGGGGAUGGACUCGCGGCUUAUCAGCUUGUUGGUGGGGUAGUGGCUUACCAAGGCUUUGACGGGUAGCCGGCCUGAGAGGGUGACCGGCCACAUUGGGACUGAGAUACGGCCCAGACUCCUACGGGAGGCAGCAGUGGGGAAUAUUGCACAAUGGGCGGAAGCCUGAUGCAGCAACGCCGCGUGCGGGAUGACGGCCUUCGGGUUGUAAACCGCUUUCGCCUGUGACGAAGCGUGAGUGACGGUAAUGGGUAAAGAAGCACCGGCUAACUACGUGCCAGCAGCCGCGGUGAUACGUAGGGUGCGAGCGUUGUCCGGAUUUAUUGGGCGUAAAGGGCUCGUAGGUGGUUGAUCGCGUCGGAAGUGUAAUCUUGGGGCUUAACCCUGAGCGUGCUUUCGAUACGGGUUGACUUGAGGAAGGUAGGGGAGAAUGGAAUUCCUGGUGGAGCGGUGGAAUGCGCAGAUAUCAGGAGGAACACCAGUGGCGAAGGCGGUUCUCUGGGCCUUUCCUGACGCUGAGGAGCGAAAGCGUGGGGAGCGAACAGGCUUAGAUACCCUGGUAGUCCACGCUGUAAACGGUGGGUACUAGGUGUGGGGUCCAUUCCACGGGUUCCGUGCCGUAGCUAACGCUUUAAGUACCCCGCCUGGGGAGUACGGCCGCAAGGCUAAAACUCAAAGGAAUUGACGGGGCCCCGCACAAGCGGCGGAGCAUGCGGAUUAAUUCGAUGCAACGCGUAGAACCUUACCUGGGUUUGACAUGGAUCGGGAGUGCUCAGAGAUGGGUGUGCCUCCUUUGGGGUCGGUUCACAGGUGGUGCAUGGCUGUCGUCAGCUCGUGUCGUGAGAUGUUGGGUUAAGUCCCGCAACGAGCGCAACCCUUGUUCACUGUUGCCAGCACGUUAUGGUGGGGACUCAGUGGAGACCGCCGGGGUCAACUCGGAGGAAGGUGGGGAUGACGUCAAGUCAUCAUGCCCCUUAUGUCCAGGGCUUCACGCAUGCUACAAUGGCUGGUACAGAGAGUGGCGAGCCUGUGAGGGUGAGCGAAUCUCGGAAAGCCGGUCUCAGUUCGGAUUGGGGUCUGCAACUCGACCUCAUGAAGUCGGAGUCGCUAGUAAUCGCAGAUCAGCAACGCUGCGGUGAAUACGUUCCCGGGGCUUGUACACACCGCCCGUCAAGUCAUGAAAGUUGGUAACACCCGAAGCCGGUGGCCUAACCGUUGUGGGGGAGCCGUCGAAGGUGGGACUGGUGAUU
Molecule: ribosomal RNA, 1430 nt
Filed under: uncultured organism
Description: 16S ribosomal RNA
Rfam family: Bacterial small subunit ribosomal RNA
Source: RNAcentral